GUCUAAUUACAUGCCGUAUUAAGGCAAAACUGCAAAUAGCUCAUUAAAUCAGUACCAUACUUGCAUUGCACCUUACUAUUUGGAUAACUGUGGCAAUUCUAGACCUAAUACAUGCAACAGUGCUCUGACCCUCUGGGGAUAAGCGCUUUUAUUAGACCAAAACCAAUCGGACCUCGUGUCCAUAUUAAGUGGUGACUCUGUAUAACUUUGGGCUGAUCACAUGGGCUCUUCCCGGUGGCGUAUCUUUCAAGUGUCUGCCAUAGCAACUGUCGAUGGUAGUUACGUGCCUACUGUGGUUGUAACGGGUGACGGGGAAUCAGGGUUCGAAUAAU
This 332-nucleotide non-coding RNA is filed under the name Stegodyphus mimosarum. RNAcentral's name for it is "eukaryotic small subunit ribosomal RNA". It matches the Rfam family "Eukaryotic small subunit ribosomal RNA", at positions 57 to 382 of the family's 1831-position model. Lineage: Eukaryota; Metazoa; Arthropoda; Arachnida; Araneae; Eresidae. The record is from Rfam by way of RNAcentral.